GGGAGGAGUCGAAUAGGGAGAGGAGGUCACUGUCGAACACGUCGCCACCAAUUACAAUCGUCGCCGAAACCGGGACAGAUUCACCGACUUAUUACUUCAGGCAAGGGAUCUUAUUUCGAAAAUCACCGAGGAGAGGAGUUCUAUUAUUGAUCAAAAUAAAAGACCUCUGCAAGAACUGGUUCUUGCAGCCACUCAAGUUCCAGGUCAGGAGGGUCAAAGUUGGUUUCAGGAUACUGCUGAUGCUGUAACUGUAAGGCAGUUCCACUGGCUAUUUAAGGAUCCAAGAGCAAGGAACAUUGAGGAUGUAUUUAUUCUUUCCGGGGAUCACCUGUAUAGAAUGAACUACAUGGAUUUGAUUCAAGUAAGUC
Molecule: long non-coding RNA, 368 nt
Organism: Arachis duranensis
Lineage: Eukaryota; Viridiplantae; Streptophyta; Magnoliopsida; Fabales; Fabaceae
Exons: 4
Source: RefSeq, a predicted model, not a curated record